Non-coding RNA from Danio rerio (zebrafish), 1365 nucleotides. Lineage: Eukaryota; Metazoa; Chordata; Actinopteri; Cypriniformes; Danionidae. The record is from Ensembl.
UUCAAUGUCAUUACACACAUAAACAGUGGAAACACACACACACAGAUGAGCUGUAGUUAUCUCCUGUGCACCAUUCUGCUGUUUGUUGCCGUUUUACUGGCCGUGACAGUAACCGGGAUCAUCCUCCUGAUGAACCAUUACCAGGCUCCCAGCGGCCCCGAUGGCCCCCCGCUCAUCAGCACCAAUCAGGACGAGGGAAACGCCCUGGUGACCAUCGAGCGGGGCGAUGGCUCCCGCAUCAACAUCUUCAUCGACCCCAACUGUCCCGACUACAACAAUAACUUCCUGCGUCUGGAGGGGGUUCAGACCUCACUGCUGCACUCACUCACCGACCACGACACUGAUCUGAAAUCAGUGAAAGGCCAGGAUCGGGCUCUGCUGGUUAAACUGGCUGAGGAGGUGGCCAAACUGUCCGCUCACGCCAGCCAGCUGAAGAUGGAGUACAACGCUUUGAGGCAAGGCCAGGGCAACAUCGGGCAGGAGCUAAGCACACUGCAGACGGAACAGGGCAGACUCAUACAGCUACUGUCAGAAAGCCAGAUCAACAUGGUGAAAGUGGUGAACUCGGUGAGUGACGCGCUCAGCUCCAUGCAGAAGGAAAAUGGAAACAUCAAGAGCCGUCUUAAGGCAGAUCUGCAGAGGGCUCCGGUGCGCAGUGUCCGGCCCAAAGGCUGCGCCGCUGGAGAGGGUUCCAGACCCAGAGACUGCAGUGACAUCUAUGCCAGCGGGCAAAGAGAGGAUGGCAUCUACUCGGUGUUCCCCACGCAUUACCCAGCAGGCUUCCAGGUCUUCUGUGACAUGACUACUGAUGGAGGCGGGUGGACGGUGAUUCAACGCAGAGAAGAUGGCUCAGUUAACUUUUUCCGUGACUGGGAAGCCUAUCGUGAAGGAUUUGGCAAGAUAACAGGAGAGCAUUGGCUAGGCAUGAAACGAAUCCAUGCACUUACUAUUCAAGCCAACUACGAGCUGCGGAUUGACCUGGAGGACUUCGAGAACAGCACCUCCUUUGCGCAGUACGGCUCUUUUGGAGUGGGUUUGUUCUCAGUUGACCCAGACGAGGAUGGUUACCCACUGAGCAUCGCUGACUACUCCGGCACCGCAGGCGACUCGCUGCUCAAACACAACGGUAUGAAAUUUACCACCAAGGACAAGGACAACGACCACUCGGAGAAUAACUGCGCGUCCUUCUACCAUGGCGCCUGGUGGUACCGAAACUGCCACACGUCCAACCUGAAUGGACAGUACCUGCGCGGCCAGCACACUUCAUACGCCGACGGCAUCGAGUGGUCGUCCUGGACGGGUUGGCAAUACUCGCUGAAGUUCACCGAGAUGAAGAUCAGACCGACCAAGGAGGAGAAUAAAUGA